Molecule: non-coding RNA, 22 nt
Filed under: Bacillus methanolicus MGA3
Lineage: Bacteria; Bacillati; Bacillota; Bacilli; Caryophanales; Bacillaceae
Source: RNAcentral
GGGAUUGAAGCUUUCGUUGCCA